GGAUUCAGGACUCAAUUCUCUCAGUUCCACUUGUAUUGUGUCAGAAACACUGCUGAUUGUAUGCCAUGUGGAUGUUUCUUUUCUUUUGAUUUUACUGGAUGCAAGUUCUUUUUCUUUCUUUUUUCUGUUCUGUUAGCCAUUUUUACUUAGGUUAAACCAUAGGAAAUUGUCAAUAUUUGACCACCUUUGGUAGACAAGAAAAGCAAUUUCAUAUGAUUCAAGUCGACGUUAUGGACAGAGGAUGGAAAGAGGAGAACAGACAAAAGAGGAGAAAAAACACACCCUGGAGGAUACAGUGCUAUUUUGAGGAAACUAUGAUAGCAAGCUCUUCAUGGUCUCUGUGUCCUCCAAAUCUCUUUUUAUGUCCCCCAAUCUCUAGGAAACCCAGAACUUCUACAGAUGGGUCUUGCGAGGCAGUGCUGGGAUCUCAUGCCUGUCUUCCUAGUCAUGCCCUAUCUCCUGUCUGUGGGCAGUGGGAGG
This 480-nucleotide long non-coding RNA is filed under the name Fukomys damarensis (Damara mole-rat). RNAcentral's name for it is "lncRNA (ENSFDAG00000026368.1)". The record is from RNAcentral. Lineage: Eukaryota; Metazoa; Chordata; Mammalia; Rodentia; Bathyergidae.